Molecule: unclassified non-coding RNA, 377 nt
Filed under: plant metagenome
Description: partial contains 5.8S ribosomal RNA, internal transcribed spacer 2, and large subunit ribosomal RNA
Rfam family: 5.8S ribosomal RNA (bases 1-104)
Source: RNAcentral
AAAUGCGAUAAGUAAUGUGAAUUGCAGAAUUCAGUGAAUCAUCGAAUCUUUGAACGCACCUUGCGCUCCUUGGUAUUCCUUGGAGCAUGCCUGUUUGAGUAUCAUGAAAUCUUCAAAGUAAAUCUUUUGUUAACUCAAUUGGUUUCUACUUUGGUAUUGGAGGUCUUUGCAGCUUCACACCUGCUCCUCUUUGUUCAUUAGCUGGAUCUCAGUGUUAUGCUUGGUUCCACUCGGCGUUAUAAGUUAUCUAUCGCUGAGGACACUGUAAAAGGUGGCCAAGGUAAAUGCAGAUGAACCGCUUCUAAUAGUCCAUUGACUUGGACAAUACUUUUAUGAUCUGAUCUCAAAUCAGGUAGGACUACCCGCUGAACUUAAGC